This 539-nucleotide transfer RNA is filed under the name uncultured cyanobacterium. RNAcentral's name for it is "partial 16S-23S ribosomal RNA intergenic spacer". The stretch from base 209 to 281 matches the Rfam family "tRNA". Lineage: Bacteria; Bacillati; Cyanobacteriota. The record is from RNAcentral.
CAGGGAGACAACAAAAUGUUUAAUAUUAUUUUGUCACCUUAGGUCGAUCGGUAUCUCACGUUCUUAAUUAAUUAAGAAUUUCAUUUUCUAAGUUUUUCUAGGUCACACCCAUUAUUUUUCCUGGGCCAUUAGCUCAGGUGGUUAGAGCGCACCCCUGAUAAGGGUGAGGUCCCUGGUUCAAGUCCAGGAUGGCCCAUAUCUCUAUGUUGGGGGUAUAGCUCAGUUGGUAGAGCGCCUGCUUUGCAAGCAGGAUGUCAGCGGUUCGAGUCCGCUUACCUCCACUGAUUACCACCUCUUCCAUAAUCCGUAGAAAGGAAAUGUUUUGAGUUGUGAUCAAAUUCUGAACGAAUCUAGCUUCCUAAUAAAAUUAUUAAGAUGCUGGACUCAUUGAAUUAAUUUCAUUGUUUUCAGAGAACCUUGACAACUGCAUAGAUUAUUUUUUUAAAGACAAUAAGCAUCUUUAAUGAUGCAGAUUUAUUAUUUGUGCGAAUGCAUUAAUAACAAUUCUAUUAAGCUGAUGCUUCAAUUUUGAAGUUAUU